RNAcentral lists this ribosomal RNA (509 nucleotides) under uncultured soil bacterium. RNAcentral's name for it is "bacterial SSU rRNA". It matches the Rfam family "Bacterial small subunit ribosomal RNA", at positions 26 to 524 of the family's 1533-position model. The record is from RNAcentral.
AGAGUGAACGCUGGCGGUAGGCCUAACACAUGCAAGUCGAACGGCAGCACAGUAGGAGCUUGCUCUUACGGGUGGCGAGUGGCGGACGGGUGAGGAAUACAUCGGAAUCUACCUUUUGGUGGGGGAUAACGUAGGGAAACUUACGUUAAUACCGCAUACGCCCUUCGGGGGAAAGCCGGGGACCAGCAAUGGCCUGGCGCUGAUAGAUGAGCCGAUGUCGGAUUAGCUAGUUGGUGAGGUAAUGGCUCACCAAGGCGACGAUCCGUAGCUGGUCUGAGAGGAUGAUCAGCCACACUGGAACUGAGACACGGUCCAGACUCCUACGGGAGGCAGCAGUGGGGAAUAUUGGACAAUGGGCGCAAGCCUGAUCCAGCCAUACCGCGUGGGUGAAGAAGGCCUUGGUUGUAAAGCCUUUAGUUGGAAAGAAAGACAUUCGGACUAAUACCCGGUGUUCGUGACGGUACCAAAGAAUAAGACACCGGCUAACUCGUAGCCAGCAGCCGCGUAAC